AUGAGAAACUCUCCAGGCAGCUGGGCAGAAGAUAGAACUACCCCAACGUUAGUUUCCAGAGUCCUCUGCUGCUGGGCAAGGCACUUUUCCUCCCAGUGCCGGCUGGCAGCCCGGCCCUGCAGCUUGGCUGCCUCCCCUUCCACUGGGAAGGUUAAAAAAAGAAAACUCCAAACCUCAAACCGACCAAAAAAUCCCUCCUUGAAACUAAACCCAAUUUCCGACUCCCCUUUGAAAAGGAAGUGCCUUUCUUCCCAUGCAGCUCUAACAAUGACCCUCUUUGCUGUCUGAAAAGUUAAGCUGCUCUGCUCUGAUGUCUCAUUGAGUCCCUGCAGAUUUUAAGUAGCUUGAUGUAUAUGGCUCUCUGCCAUUCCCUUGCCAGGGAUAUUUUUAAAUAGCCGUUGUUUUGGUGGCAGGCAUGAAAAGCCAAGUUCUCUCUAUUGCUGGCCGUGCAAAUCCUGCUCCUGAGGCUGUUGAAAUGGCUGAUGUCAGGAUGCAGGCAACAGCGUUUCUGGCACUGCUGGGAGGUGAAAUUGCUCUUGGCAGGGGCAGCCCAGCUGUUUCUUUUAUCUCUGUUCAUGGCAAGGGGCAAGGUGGGGAAGGGAGGGAUUAAUGAAAGUUUGAAUAUUUUGGAAGCACUAUAAACAGUGUGUGUUGGGGGGGAAACAGUGACACUGUCUUGUCAGUAUGGUUCAGCUUACGUUUGCCUCUGUCUUACAAAGGGCUUGAGCCUUCCUAUACUCUGAGCUAAUGCAAAAUUGCUUGCUAGCUGUGAUGCAGCUUGCUUUUCUCUCUGGAAUAGUGGAACUGUUUCAGGACAUUAUUAGGACUGGGAAAAACUACCCAGCGUGUCAGAAGAGAAUUUAAAUCAGGCCCAGAGCAACUGGCACUUGGAUAUGACAAUUUUAUGGGAGUACUGCAAGGCAGGUAUGAUUACAGCUCAUAUAACAAGCUGAGAAGUGAGCGUAAGAAACUGUGAGCACAUUAAAGACAACAGUAGUGUGCAGUCUGGGUGCUCAUAAAGAUACAGUUCGUUCUUUCUCUUCAUAAAAAAAAAAAGACUGUUACCUGUUGGAUGCUGCUCUGGCUUCCAGUGAUACAAUUAACGGAGUUUGUUUUGGACUUGCAUAGAUGAUCUAACCAUGAAUAAUGUCUUAGAUUACAUCCUGAAAUGUCAGCAUCACUGAUGGCAGCUACCAUCUUCAGGAUGUCUUCACGGCGGCGUUCUGGAUGUGUUAUUUUUCCAGGUGGUUUCAGAUAAUAGCAGGGUAUGAAGAGCUCUGCUGUCAGUAAAAUAUCAACACAGGCAACUCUCAGCAGGUAGCUGGUAAUAAAAGAUUCUCAUGCUGGCA
RNAcentral lists this long non-coding RNA (1349 nucleotides) under Phasianus colchicus (ring-necked pheasant). RNAcentral's name for it is "lncRNA (ENSPCLG00000015364.1)". The record is from RNAcentral. Lineage: Eukaryota; Metazoa; Chordata; Aves; Galliformes; Phasianidae.